Molecule: ribosomal RNA, 468 nt
Filed under: uncultured bacterium
Lineage: Bacteria
Description: partial 16S ribosomal RNA
Rfam family: Bacterial small subunit ribosomal RNA
Source: RNAcentral
GACGAACGCUGGCGGCGUGCUUAACACAUGCAAGUCGAACGGAAAGGCCCUGCUUUUGUGGGGUGCUCGAGUGGCGAACGGGUGAGUAACACGUGAGUAACCUGCCCUUGACUUUGGGAUAACUUCAGGAAACUGGGGCUAAUACCGGAUAGGAGCUCCUGCUGCAUGGUGGGGGUUGGAAAGUUUCGGCGGUUGGGGAUGGACUCGCGGCUUAUCAGCUUGUUGGUGGGGUAGUGGCUUACCAAGGCCUUGACGGGUAGCCGGCCUGAGAGGGUGACCGGCCACAUUGGGACUGAGAUACGGCCCAGACUCCUACGGGAGGCAGCAGUGGGGAAUAUUGCACAAUGGGCGGAAGCCUGAUGCAGCAACGCCGCGUGCGGGAUGACGGCCUUCGGGUUGUAAACCGCUUUCGCCUGUGACGAAGCGUGAGUGACGGUAAUGGGUAAAGAAGUACCGGCUAACUACGUG